This 73-nucleotide transfer RNA is filed under the name Coleofasciculus sp. FACHB-1120. RNAcentral describes it as "tRNA-Met". It matches the Rfam family "tRNA". From Rfam's summary of the family: Transfer RNA (tRNA) molecules are approximately 80 nucleotides in length. Their secondary structure includes four short double-helical elements and three loops (D, anti-codon, and T loops). The record is from RNAcentral. Lineage: Bacteria; Bacillati; Cyanobacteriota; Cyanophyceae; Coleofasciculales; Coleofasciculaceae.
GGGAGUAUAGCUCAGGUGGUAGAGCAGCCUUCUCAUAAGGGGCUAGUCGUAGGUUCAAGUCCUACUACUCCUA